Molecule: ribosomal RNA, 229 nt
Filed under: uncultured bacterium
Lineage: Bacteria
Description: partial 16S ribosomal RNA
Rfam family: Bacterial small subunit ribosomal RNA
Source: RNAcentral
UAGAGGCCCACCAAACCGACGAUCAGUAGCCGGCCUGAGAGGGUGAACGGCCACAUUGGGACUGAGACACGGCCCAAACUCCUACGGGAGGCAGCAGUGGGGAAUAUUGCACAAUGGGGGAAACCCUGAUGCAGCGACGCCGCGUGAGCGAAGAAGUAUUUCGGUAUGUAAAGCUCUAUCAGCAGGGAAGAUAAUGACGGUACUUGAGGAGGAAGCCCCGGCUAACUAC